GACGAGCGCUGGCGGCGUGCUUAACACAUGCAAGUCGAACGGAAAGGCCCUGCUUUUGUGGGGUGCUCGAGUGGCGAACGGGUGAGUAACACGUGAGUAACCUGCCCUUGACUUUGGGAUAACUUCAGGAAACUGGGGCUAAUACCGGAUAGGAGCUCCUGCUGCAUGGUGGGGGUUGGAAAGUUUCGGCGGUUGGGGAUGGACUCGCGGCUUAUCAGCUUGUUGGUGGGGUAGUGGCUUACCAAGGCUUUGACGGGUAGCCGGCCUGAGAGGGUGACCAGCCACAUUGGGACUGAGAUACGGCCCAGACUCCUACGGGAGGCAGCAGUGGGGAAUAUUGCACAAUGGGCGGAAGCCUGAUGCAGCAACGCCGCGUGCGGGAUGACGGCCUUCGGGUUGUAAACCGCUUUCGCCUGUGACGAAGCGUGAGUGACGGUAAUGGGUAAAGAAGCACCGGCUAACUACGUG
RNAcentral lists this ribosomal RNA (468 nucleotides) under uncultured bacterium. RNAcentral describes it as "partial 16S ribosomal RNA". It matches the Rfam family "Bacterial small subunit ribosomal RNA", at positions 28 to 507 of the family's 1533-position model. The record is from RNAcentral.